CCCCCAUCCUGUGACAGCCCCGCAUCCUGUGACAGCCCCCACCCUGUGACAGCCCCCAUCCUGUGACAGCCCCGCAUCCUAUGACAACUGUCAUUCUGAGACAGCCCCACAUCCUGUGACAGCCCCUCCACCCUGUGACAGCCCUCACCCUGUGACAGCCUCCAUUCUGUGAUGGCCUAUAUCCUGUGACAGUUCCCUCAUCCUGUGACAGCUUCCACCUUGUGACAACUCCCAUCCUGUCACAACCCCCCAUCCUACAACAGCCCCACAUCCUGUGAAAGUCCCCCACUCUGUGACAGGCCCAUCCUGUGACCACCCCCACCCCGUGACAGCCCCCAUCCUGUGACAGCACCCCUACCCUGUGACAGCCCCCCCAUGACAACCUCCCUCCUGUGACAGUCCUGAGGCCCCUGCAGCUCUCAGUGUGUUUGUCCCCCUGGUGUGCAAGAUCUGACUUGUCCAUGUCCUGUCCACGUCCCUGCAAGGGCGCUGAGAGGGCCACCGAGAGCCCUGGAUCCUCUGUUCUCCCAUGGCCGCCUGCAGCUGCCGGCCUGUGAAGCCUCAGCCACCGAUCAUAAAGCUAAGAACUUACUGAAAACCUCUUCCUCUGUUGUGGCCUUGGCUAUGUUUUGUUUCUUUCCCGAGGUUUAUGUUUUCCACCUAAAUUUUCAUUUUGUUCGGUAAACCAAGUGGCGGCCUCCGCAGCACCCCCGUUUCAGAGAGGGCAGGGCCAGGUUAUGGGGUGGGGUUUAGGUUCACCGUGUGUUAUUUUAACAGGUGUGUCUAGCGUUCCUGAAUCCAGCCAUGGAGUCAGUCUCCAUCCGCCCAUUCUACAGAUUGCAGCCAAAGAACAACCCCAGCAGUGGGACGGCAUCCUGACUUGUCAUCACCAGGAGCAGGAGUCGGGGUGUUACCCCAACCCCUUUCUGGGUUUUGGACCACCUGGCAGAGGUGGCCGGAGAGUUUCGGCGACGUCACAGAGAAGGAGGCAGGAUGGAGACAGGACAUCAGGGGUGCUGGGGGCUGCAGGAGGUAGCUGAGCAGGCAGGUGCAGGAUUCUCAGGGCGGUGGACUGCUCUGUACGGGACUGCAACGGAGGACACAGGUCAUUACACGUUUGUGCAGCACCGAGAGUGACCCUGAUGUGCACUGUGGGCUCCGGGUGACGAUGACAUGUCCAUGCAGGUUCACAGAUUGGGACAAAUGCACCCUCUGGUUGUCAACAGCGAGGAAGGCUGUGCAUGUGUUGGGGGAGAGGGUCUGGGGCAAUCUCUGUACCUUCCUCUCACUUUUGCUGUCAACCUUAAACUGCCCUCAACGAUAGCCUAUUACAAACAAAGAGAAGGAGCGACCAACGAGACUGAGCCUCGGGUAGGCUAAUUGCCCACACGCUGAGCGGACGUGAGCCUACGCCUGCCCCCUAGGGUGGGGCCUGGCAGGGGGCGCCAGCCCCCCACCCCCACCCUGCAGCAGGGGGCCUGGAAGGGGCUGCCCUCCCACAGAGAGGGCUGCCCCGGAGCCUCUGCCCUGGGGAAGCGGGCACUUCCGGGCCUCUCUCAGCAAUCCUGUCACCCAGACGCCCGGACUGCCGACACCUCAAAACCGGGAACAGAGCUUGCUCCUGCCUGAGGAAAGGGUGUCACCCGCUGAGACCCUGCACCGCUCAGUGGCCCUUUGUCUCCCUCCAGCCCAGACAAUGGCACUGCCCACCCCAGGCCUGUCCCCCGUCCACAGGUACUAGGCACAAGGGUUGAUGUCCUCUGAGCACCUUCCCCGGGAUGGGUCCCCUUGUCACCCUCGCUGGAGCACGUGGGGCCCAGAGAGUGAAGGGUCCGGGGUUUCCAUCCUGAAGCGGCCUCUGCAGCGACACACCCACUUAGAGCUCUUGUCCACAGACUCCAUGUUCCCUCCAACUCGUGAAUCCAACAGCCGGGGAGGCGCUCACAUAGUCUCCUCUAGAGGACUGGGGGGCAGGCGCAGGACGAGAGGUCCGAGGGUGGGUGCCUUUCGGGUCCGGACGGCCGGGUGCUGCACGAACGCGCGGGCCAGCCCUUCUGCAGAGGGUCCUGAGGCCGGCGGGACGGGCGACUGCGGCGGGCGGUCUUCAUCAGCCGCCUGCCAGGCUCCCCGUGGAGCUGAGCAAACCGCAGCUCGAGACCCGGCCCAGCACUGUGACGCUGCCCGGGCAGGGUGUUCCCUCCGGGCCCGUCAGCACCGGCAGCGCGAGGACCCACCCCUCCUGCGGCGCGUGCCAGAACAGAUGCCAUUCUCACAGGGAACGGAGGAUCCUCCAGCGGCCUUUGCUGCCUCCAGGGAAGCAAGUGUCACUCUGCAAGGCUUCUCCAGGGCCUUCACUUGUCCCUUUCCUGGAGCAUUAGAUGCACCUGUCCUGAUGCAGAUGCUGAUACAGGAAAAAUGGGCCACGAGAGGACAGUCAUGUCCCCAGGUCUCAGUCGAGUCCCUGGGAGGGACCCCAACAAGUGAGGGUCCUUGGCUUCGCACAGGAAAGAAUUCAAGAGUGAGCCACAGGUUUAUUCAGAGAGAGGCACACUCCAUGGACAGAGUGGGCCGUCUCUGCAGGUGGGGACAAGGGGUGGAGGCCCCAGAGCACGGGGUCAUCUAGAAAAGUGAGGGCGGCCAUGAGGUGCGGGGCUGUCAGUUUUUAUGGGCUUGGUAACUUCAUGUGCUAACAAGUGGGAGGGUUAUUCUAACGGCUUUGGGGACGGGGUGGGGAGUCCCAGGAACUGGGCCACCACCCACUUUUUGACCUUUUAUGGCAGCCUGGGACCCGUCAUGGUGCCUGUGGGCGAGCCAUUGAGCUGCUGGUGUAUAACAACGCGCGUACAGUGAAGCUCACGGUCACUGCAGGCACAUCUCCCGCCAUCCCGGUGCUAAUCAACGUGUCAUUCUUUUAA
Camelus dromedarius (Arabian camel) is the source of this 2915-nucleotide long non-coding RNA. RefSeq lists it as uncharacterized. NCBI's taxonomy places the organism in Eukaryota, Metazoa, Chordata, Mammalia, Artiodactyla, Camelidae. The record is from RefSeq and is a predicted model, not a curated record. The transcript is spliced from 2 exons.